GAUGAACGCUGGCGGCGUGCCUAAUACAUGCAAGUCGAGCGCACAGAUGAGGAGCUUGCUCCUCUGACGUUAGCGGCGGACGGGUGAGUAACACGUGGAUAACCUACCUAUAAGACUGGGAUAACUUCGGGAAACCGGAGCUAAUACCGGAUAAUAUAUUGAACCGCAUGGUUCAAUAGUGAAAGACGGUUUUGCUGUCCCUUAUAGAUGGAUCCGCGCCGCAUUAGCUAGUUGGUAAGGUAACGGCUUACCAAGGCAACGAUGCGUAGCCGACCUGAGAGGGUGAUCGGCCACACUGGAACUGAGACACGGUCCAGACUCCUACGGGAGGCAGCAGUAGGGAAUCUUCCGCAAUGGGCGAAAGCCUGACGGAGCAACGCCGCGUGAGUGAUGAAGGUCUUCGGAUCGUAAAACUCUGUUAUUAGGGAAGAACAAAUGUGUAAGUAACUAUGCACGUCUUGACGGUACCUAAUCAGAAAGCCACGGCUAACUACGUG
This 497-nucleotide ribosomal RNA is filed under the name uncultured bacterium. Its description in RNAcentral is "partial 16S ribosomal RNA". It matches the Rfam family "Bacterial small subunit ribosomal RNA", at positions 28 to 507 of the family's 1533-position model. The record is from RNAcentral.